GAUCUGCUUCCGGGGUAAAAUACGCAAUUUAAAAGCGCAGAAACCAGUGAGACGGUCAUUUUGUGCUGGUGUCUGCGUGAGAUAGGGAGCCAUGCCUACAAAAGGCCUUUCUUACCAAGGAACAGCACUGUGGUGCCUGGUCCAUGCAGUCAAUGUCAUGGCUCCGAUGCCAGAAGUGGCUCUUUGAAUAAACUCCUUGCCUGGUGCUUUGUGUCUCCUGUGUGGAGUGAUGGAUCACCCUGCUUCCCUGCUGAUGGUGGCUGCCGUUUUUUGAUCGAUGCAGCAUGCAAGUCCUGGGUGCCCUCUGCUUCAGAAUCGACAGGGAGCUCAGUCUGCAAAUGGCUGUGGCUGAUGCCAACUUGCUGUGGUGGAGGGGGUUUGUCCCCGUAAUCCUAGUGAGGGGCUGGAAAUAAGGCAAUUCAAAUGCCUAUGAAGGACAUGCACUUGGAUGUCCCACAACAGGGAUGUGGGACAAUAGAGGUUGGGCCUUGGAUGAGCCAUGAAGUUCUGGUGCAUUGUGGAUCGAGCGGCAGCCAAAGACGGGGAGGUGGCCUUGCUGGACCUCCCCUCCCGGUUACUGAAACUGCCUUUAGGGACAUGGGUGGCUGAGCAUCCUGGGUGAUCAGCUCUUCUGUGAAAUGGAGUCUGCUGUUAAUUCAUUACAACAGUGCAUAUGCAGAAGCAGUCUUCGGAUUCGAGCACUUAAGGUGUAAUUUGACGACAAAUAAAAUUCCCUUUUUAAAACAA
Brienomyrus brachyistius is the source of this 747-nucleotide long non-coding RNA. RefSeq lists it as uncharacterized. Lineage: Eukaryota; Metazoa; Chordata; Actinopteri; Osteoglossiformes; Mormyridae. The record is from RefSeq and is a predicted model, not a curated record. The transcript has 8 exons.